GUCAUGUGCAACUCUGGUGUAUGCAACCAUAGUAACUGCUCCUCUCGGUUGUGAUCAGUGAAUAAAAUGUGUUGCCUUGGGAACCUGUGAGCUAUGACUAAUUAAUUGAGUGCAGAAAGGGAGCACUUAAAGGGCGCAGACCACACGCUCCCUAAUAUGGUUUGUUAUUUAAUAAAUUGCUGUAUUGGCAAUAAAUUAAAUAAUGGUCUUGCAAAGGGGACCGCAGCCUCUCUUGAGCCCGACCGCAACCUUUACAACCC
Non-coding RNA from Pelobates cultripes (western spadefoot toad), 260 nucleotides. Lineage: Eukaryota; Metazoa; Chordata; Amphibia; Anura; Pelobatidae. The record is from the annotation of a GenBank genome assembly.